Molecule: ribosomal RNA, 62 nt
Filed under: Salvia divinorum
Lineage: Eukaryota; Viridiplantae; Streptophyta; Magnoliopsida; Lamiales; Lamiaceae
Also listed under: 7 other names
Source: RNAcentral
GUGCUUGGGCGAGAGUAGUACUAGGAUGGGUGACCCCCUGGGAAGUCCUCGUGUUGCACCCC